This 545-nucleotide long non-coding RNA is filed under the name Daphnia pulex (common water flea). RNAcentral's name for it is "uncharacterized LOC124197569, transcript variant X2". The record is from RNAcentral. Lineage: Eukaryota; Metazoa; Arthropoda; Branchiopoda; Diplostraca; Daphniidae.
CAGACCAUUACAAUUCAGAUUUUCAUAAACAUAGAAGGCAACCGGCAACCCAGCUUAGAUCUUAGCUGGGUUGCCUUCUAAACCCAACUCGAGUUUGAUAUAGUUUCAUUUCUUAUAGAGUAGUGACAUGAAGAGUGUGAAGUGAAUAACCUGCAAUGUGUAUGUACAUGUACCAGAUCUGUACAUGAAAACAUAUAUAUAUUAUGUACAUGAGUACAGAUGCAUAAUAGAUGCGCAAACACGAAUGUUAUGAAUUUCGUUUUGGGGUCAAUGGAGUUGGCGCUGGUUGCCGUUACUGGCCUUUUGCGACGUCUUGAUAUCAGUUUACAAUAAUAGCUCUGGACUCUAGGGAAUCCAAACUCAUAUUCGAGUCAACCUGCAGAAAGGUCGGCCAGUUUGUCCAGACAGGAUGUCUUUCUCGCUUGAAGGUCACGAGAAACAUUACGUAAAACUGGCAUGCGGUGGUGAAGAGGUUGGGUGAGAAUGACACGUGUUUCAUCAUUAUCAAAGCAGACCCAUCCCCAGCAACGUCUACCUAAAGAAGG